GACGAACGCUGGCGGCGUGCUUAACACAUGCAAGUCGAACGGUAAGGCUCCAGCUUGCUGGGGUACACGAGUGGCGAACGGGUGAGUAACACGUGGGUGACCUGCCCUGCACUUCGGGAUAAGCCUGGGAAACUGGGUCUAAUACCGGAUAGGACCGCACCGUGAGGGUGUGGUGGAAAGUUUUUUCGGUGUGGGAUGGGCCCGCGGCCUAUCAGCUUGUUGGUGGGGUAAUGGCCUACCAAGGCGGCGACGGGUAGCCGGCCUGAGAGGGUGGACGGCCACAUUGGGACUGAGACACGGCCCAGACUCCUACGGGAGGCAGCAGUGGGGAAUAUUGCACAAUGGGCGGAAGCCUGAUGCAGCGACGCCGCGUGGGGGAUGACGGCCUUCGGGUUGUAAACUCCUUUCACCAUCGACGAAGGGUUUCUGACGGUAGAUGGAGAAGAAGCACCGGCUAACUACGUGCCAGCAGCCGCGGUAAUACGUAUGGUGCGAGCGUUGUCCGGAAUUACUGGGCGUAAAGAGCUCGUAGGUGGUUUGUCGCGUCGUCUGUGAAAUUCCGGGGCUUAACUCCGGGCGUGCAGGCGAUACGGGCAUAACUUGAGUACUGUAGGGGAGACUGGAAUUCCUGGUGUAGCGGUGAAAUGCGCAGAUAUCAGGAGGAACACCGGUGGCGAAGGCGGGUCUCUGGGCAGUAACUGACGCUGAGGAGCGAAAGCAUGGGGAGCGAACAGGAUUAGAUACCCUGGUAGUCCAUGCCGUAAACGGUGGGCGCUAGGUGUGGGUUUCCUUCCACGGGAUCCGUGCCGUAGCUAACGCAUUAAGCGCCCCGCCUGGGGAGUACGGCCGCAAGGCUAAAACUCAAAGGAAUUGACGGGGGCCCGCACAAGCGGCGGAGCAUGUGGAUUAAUUCGAUGCAACGCGAAGAACCUUACCUGGGCUUGACAUAUACAGGAUCGCGCCAGAGAUGGUGUUUCCCUUGUGGCUUGUAUACAGGUGGUGCAUGGUUGUCGUCAGCUCGUGUCGUGAGAUGUUGGGUUAAGUCCCGCAACGAGCGCAACCCUUGUCUUAUGUUGCCAGCACGUUGUGGUGGGGACUCGUAAGAAACUGCCGGGGUUAACUCGGAGGAAGGUGGGGAUGACGUCAAAUCAUCAUGCCCCUUAUGUCCAGGGCUUCACACAUGCUACAAUGGUCGGUACAGUGGGUUGCCAGUCCGUGAGGGCGAGCUAAUCCCGCAAAGCCGGUCUCAGUUCGGAUCGGGGUCUGCAACUCGACCCCGUGAAGUCGGAGUCGCUAGUAAUCGCAGAUCAGCAACGCUGCGGUGAAUACGUUCCCGGGCCU
RNAcentral lists this ribosomal RNA (1341 nucleotides) under uncultured bacterium. Its description in RNAcentral is "16S ribosomal RNA". It matches the Rfam family "Bacterial small subunit ribosomal RNA", at positions 28 to 1381 of the family's 1533-position model. The record is from RNAcentral.